This 253-nucleotide ribosomal RNA is filed under the name uncultured bacterium. RNAcentral's name for it is "partial 16S ribosomal RNA". It matches the Rfam family "Bacterial small subunit ribosomal RNA", at positions 524 to 776 of the family's 1533-position model. The record is from RNAcentral.
UACAGGGGGGGCAAGCGUUGUUCGGAAUUACUGGGCGUAAAGGGCUCGUAGGCGGUCUGUUGCGUCGGGAGUGAAAACUCAGGGCUUAACCCUGAGCCUGCUUCCGAUACGGGCAGACUAGAGGUAUGCAGGGGAGAACGGAAUUCCUGGUGUAGCGGUGAAAUGCGCAGAUAUCAGGAGGAACACCGGUGGCGAAGGCGGUUCUCUGGGCAUUACCUGACGCUGAGGAGCGAAAGUGUGGGGAGCGAACAGG